Molecule: long non-coding RNA, 743 nt
Organism: Trichosurus vulpecula (common brushtail)
Lineage: Eukaryota; Metazoa; Chordata; Mammalia; Diprotodontia; Phalangeridae
Exons: 3
Source: RefSeq, a predicted model, not a curated record
UCAACCUCCAGUCAUUAGGCCUCCAGUCUGGUGAUGACUUUAUUCCCUGAAAUUUCUACUGUAGUUCUGCCGAGCUCAAAUAACGUUUAUAGAGCAGUACAGAGCUAUGCUGAUAAUCAACGAAACAAUAAAUCAAGCCCUGACUUGAUUUGUCAAUUCUGAGGUAUAAAUGCUCACACGGAAAAUUUAACAAGCAGCUCUGGAAAGCCAGUUAGAGCUAACUCCAGAGCACUAUCCUGAUUGGCCGGAUAGUGUGUUGACCUUGGCUACCUCGGUGUCAUACAGCUUCUUUAUUGUCUGCUUGAUCUGAUGUUUGUUGGCCUCGAUCUCCACAAUGAAGACUUGGGUGUUGUUGUCCUCAAUCUUCUUCCUAGCAGACCCAGUGGUGAAGGGGAACUUAAUAAUGUCAUGGUGAUUAAGCUUGUUUCUCUGUGGGGCGCUUUUCUGAGGGUAUUUGGGCUGCCCUUGAAAUUUUAGUGUCUUGGGUUGCCGGAAGGUGGGGGGUGUUCAGAUUUUCUUCUUUUUGUGACUAUGGACACCCUUCAACACCACCUUCAUGGCCUUCAAGGCCUUGGACUGGGCUUCUGACUUGGGUGGAGGGGAGGGACAACGGCUUCCUUCUUCACCUUCGGGCGCCAUCUGGGGGAAAGGCUAUCUCCCCCUUUAAGAAGGAAGCUUCUUAAGGGAGAGGGACUGUCUCACUUUUGUAUUUGUAUCUCCCCUCACCCAAUGCUGCUUGGCAC